Molecule: ribosomal RNA, 369 nt
Filed under: uncultured organism
Description: bacterial SSU rRNA
Rfam family: Bacterial small subunit ribosomal RNA
Source: RNAcentral
CGUAGGGUGCGAGCGUUAAUCGGAAUUACUGGGCGUAAAGCGUGCGCAGGCGGUUUUGUAAGACAGAUGUGAAAUCCCCGGGCUCAACCUGGGACCUGCAUUUGUGACUGCAAGGCUAGAGUACGGUAGAGGGGGAUGGAAUUCCGCGUGUAGCAGUGAAAUGCGUAGAUAUGCGGAGGAACACCGAUGGCGAAGGCAAUCCCCUGGACCUGUACUGACGCUCAUGCACGAAAGCGUGGGGAGCAAACAGGAUUAGAUACCCUGGUAGUCCACGCCCUAAACGAUGCCAACUGGUGUUGGGUCUUUACUGACUCAGUAACGAAGCUAACGCGUGAAGUUGACCGCCUGGGGAGUACGGCCGCAAGGUUG